AGUACAUAGAUGCGAAUAUUAUACUUGCUCGAUUAAAAUGUUGUUGACGGUAUGCAAGUAUCAUUAGUAGAGAGUUAUCUCCCUUACCCUUUACAAUAAUGGAUGAAACUGCGCGACGAUAAAGUAAAAUGCUAAUGUCAGCCAUGACAUUGUUGAUGAAAAUAUAUCAUAAUUUCUGUAUUUUACGUGUUGAAGGAAGGAAGGAUAUAUUACGAUUCUUUGACGAAACGACACCACUGGAACCACCUUGACAUCGUUGACAGCCGCCACCGCCACCGUCAGUAAGCCCACCAAAGUGUCAGCAGCGAUCGCUACCACCACCACAAACCCAAAGACCACACCCACCACUACCAGUGCCAGUGCUGCCACUACUGCCAGUGCUGCUACCGUCACACGGAGAACAACAACUUCUAACACAGAGAGACUACCAACCACUACUACUUCAAUCAACAUGCCUACCGGGAUAGUAAGAGAGUUGAACACAGGCGCACCAUCUUCUCUACCGAAAACGUCAUCAUCAUCAACAUUGUCGUCGUCAUCGAUGCUAUCUACUUUGGUCAACAAGAUCAAUGAUAUUUUCAUGGAGAUGAUUGCGGUCGUCAUUCUCGUCAUUUGCAGUAUGGUCCUUCACGUCCUCAUUUGGUUACAUAAAAGAUGUACAACUGCAUGUCGUUCACCACCAACAUCAUCGCGGACAUCGACUUCUAGGUUUUCAUCACCUGCUUCUGAUUCACACUCGGCCGAACACAUCCCCCUACAGACCUUUUCGUCUACAGCAUCUACGAUUCUGAUGUCGCCCUCAACAUCUCAAGGACAUACACCACCAUCACCACCACCACCACCAGCACCACAAGCAGAAGCAGCACAAGAACACACUCUGGUAUCAGUACAUUUACCCCCACCAAGUGUUUCAUCCACCCCACAGACAUCUUCCACUCGACAUGCCAUGCGACAAUAUCAAGAUCAAGUCAUCGAUCACCCUAUUAUACAAGGUCAAAGAAAGCAAUCCGCUUUACUGACGUAUAAUGAAGUGGGAAAAGAAACUUUGGACGGAUUAAAACUCGGACUACUCAUUAAAACUCGGACUAGACUACUCAUUAAAACUCGGGACUACUCAGUAACUGUGAUCAGUGACGAUGUGAUUUUUUGUCUAUUUUAUUGUUUUGUUUUUUGGGUUUGUUUUGUUGUUUUACCUUACAUGUAUAUCGUACAACUAUAAUAAUAAUAAUAAUAACGAAUCUUGGCUGUCAUGGGUGAUGCGGAGAGUGUGAUUGUAAUUUUGGAAAUUUUGAUGUUUUUUAUUUUUUAAAAAUAUGUAUGUUCCUUUGGUUUUUUUUUGGUUUUUGUUUUUUUUUACCUUACAUAUAUAUCGUCAACUAUAAUAAUAAUAACGAAUCUUGGCGAUCAAGGGUGAUGUGGAGAUUGUAAUUUUUGAAAUUUUUGAAACGAUGUUUUUUUAAUUUUUGAUUAUAUGUAUGUUCCUUUGGGUUUUGCUGUUUUGUUUGGUUUUUUAAAAAAAAAUUAUUAUUUUUUUUUACCUUACACGUGCAUUGCACAACUAUAAUAAUAAUAAUAAUAAUGAAUCUUGACGAUCAAGGGUGAUGCGGAUAUUUAUUUUGGAAAUUGUUUUUUAUAUAACUGAGGUAAUUUACUGUAUGCUAUACAAGACUCAGUUCAAAUCAAAGGUGCUGUGAUUAUUAUAUGUUGAUUUUUAUAUAUUAAAUCGUUUUUGUAAUGCUC
RNAcentral lists this long non-coding RNA (1740 nucleotides) under Haliotis rubra (blacklip abalone). RNAcentral's name for it is "uncharacterized LOC124278404". Lineage: Eukaryota; Metazoa; Mollusca; Gastropoda; Lepetellida; Haliotidae. The record is from RNAcentral.